UUAAAUUGAAGAGUUUGAUCAUGGCUCAGAUUGAACGCUGGCGGCAGGCCUAACACAUGCAAGUCGAACGGUAACAGAAAGCAGCUUGCUGCUUUGCUGACGAGUGGCGG
RNAcentral lists this ribosomal RNA (110 nucleotides) under Escherichia coli. Its description in RNAcentral is "partial 16S ribosomal RNA". It matches the Rfam family "Bacterial small subunit ribosomal RNA", at positions 1 to 101 of the family's 1533-position model. RNAcentral also lists the same sequence under 1 other name. Lineage: Bacteria; Pseudomonadati; Pseudomonadota; Gammaproteobacteria; Enterobacterales; Enterobacteriaceae. The record is from RNAcentral.